Taeniopygia guttata (zebra finch) is the source of this 2015-nucleotide non-coding RNA. NCBI's taxonomy places the organism in Eukaryota, Metazoa, Chordata, Aves, Passeriformes, Estrildidae. The record is from RefSeq and is a predicted model, not a curated record.
CUUUGAUGACUCACUACAGUAACACCAGGGCUUGUCUAUGAGGAUGAGUCAGUGCACAAGAAAGAUAAAUGUGCACUUGAUAUAGAGCAGCAAUUUCACCUUCUCUUUUCCAGCUGGACACCUGCUCUUAAAUCCCAGUGCCGUUGCACAGUUUGCUUAGGAUUGUAGGUGUUCUCUGGGCAGAAGAAAUGUGCUCCUCAGGGUCCAAUAGCUCCUUUGUAUUAAUGGACAAGCGUUCAGAGUAUCCUGGGACAGGGGGGAAGGAACAUGAAAAAGUGAGAGAGGGUUCUGAAAAAUCCCAGGCCAUGAUUGCACCCCCAGUGGGUGUUGGCCAGGUCCUUUGGGAGUGACCAGGGAGGUAUAACCAAAAGUGUUGUGACAUCUUGGUCUGUGUUGCAUCGAGUUUUUGUUUUGUUUUUUUUUUUUCCAGCCAGUAGCAAAUAGAGGCAAAUUGAAACCCUACUUCAGCAGACAAGGAUUACAGAAUCCACAGGCUCUGGAGGACUCGAAGCCUGACACUUUGGCAACAUUUCCAGCUGUUUGUGUCCACUUUACUUCAUUCCCCUGGGUGGCAGCGGAGCCAUUCAGAUGCUGGCUGGGCCCCAUGCCGUUCUUGCAGCGUGUGGGUGGUUCCCCCUUGGCAGAAGGCAAACCCUCUCCGGCACAGCCCCAGAUCCCAGGCGCAUUCCUCGGGAGCCGGCCGCUCCGAUUCCCUGAUUUACGAUGGAAAGAAAAAAAACCAAAUCCAAGAGUGGGAGGGGACAUGAAGAAAAGGGGUUGGGGCCCUGUGGAAUUACAUCUCUGUUUAUAGAAAAUUUAUAUUUUAAUUAGGAAAACCCAGCAACUGGGAAGAUUUUUAUUAUAAUGAUGGCUAUUAUAAACCUGGCGUUUAUACUUGGGGUGCAUUCAAAUUUUGUUUUGUAAGUCUGGUCUUAUAUAAGCCGUUUUUAAAGCUAUCAGAUUCUGUGACCUUUUUUAGGAAAAAACCAGCAGACCAUUUUAAGUUCCAGUUGUACAUAUGCUGCUUUUUGGUAGAACAACGUGAGCUGGGGGAAUGUUUUCUUUACUGUUUGGCUUUUUGCAACUGUAAUGUUCUCAUUCACAAUGGUGAAGGCCAAACUAUUUUUUUUCUUUUUUCAUGAAAUCUGAGAGGUUGAUUAACCACAGCCAGAGGGAGCGAGUGGACUGUUUCCCUAGGGUAUGGAAGACCUACAUUUAAUCCUAUCCUUGAACUGAACCUAAAGCUGUCUGGUUUGGGUACCUACCACUAUCAUUUCACAAAAGGAGAGAGAACAGAACAGGAUCACUUGGGCUCAAGGGAAGUAACCAGAGAUGCCAGUCCAGAUCUGAAGUUUUCCAAGGCAGAAAACAGCACCAAAACAGAAUGUUCCUGGAAAAAAAAGAAGUGGUUCCAGCUGGCAUGAACAUUUUCUACAAAUUCAGAAAAAGCAUUUCGUCAAAACCCUGGAAGCUGCUUUGCUAGAGAUGCCACUUGUUCACAUCGACGCUGUCCAUCAAGCACAGACCACCACAGCAUGUUGGACAUCUUCCACAAACCGUGUCCAGAAUGCCUGCUAUAUGAAAAAGAAAGGAGAUCCUUGGAAACCAUAUGCAGAUGGCCUGAACCAAGCUAAAAGUGGAGAGAAAGAACAGACAGCCUAGGUAGGUGAUGAAGCAUAUGUUCUACAAAUCCAGACUGCCUUAAGCUAAAGCAAACAAAGCAAGCUGGGGAAAGUUACAAUGGUUUAGAUUUCCUAAGUACAACAAGUUUUAUUUAAUGUUUGAAACAAUUUUCCCUUAAGGGAUGUCCUUUCAUUUUAAGUUGAAGAAGGCUGACAACUCAUCCUAUGAAAAUUUUUUCCUUUUGCUGGAAAGAAUUAAUUUUUUGGCUAAUCCAAAAUAUUAUUUUCCCCUCUCGUGUUCAUCACCCACCUUUCAGUAUGACUCCCUCACCAUUUCAGCCCAUUACUUGCUUGUUAUUUAGAAAAGAAGUAGAUUUUCCAUAAUUGCUCUCU